This 4657-nucleotide long non-coding RNA is filed under the name Salmo salar (Atlantic salmon). RNAcentral describes it as "lncRNA (ENSSSAG00000106718.1)". Lineage: Eukaryota; Metazoa; Chordata; Actinopteri; Salmoniformes; Salmonidae. The record is from RNAcentral.
CUCUGGGAUGUGCUUUAUUAUCACAUCGCACCAUAGAUGAUAACUACACCAAACUUCCCACAGAACAAGGAUACCUAUUGGAAAAGUUUCAUAGAGUCAAUCAUAGAUUUAAUGUAAAUGUCACGGUUGUCGUAUGGAUUGGACCAAAACGCAGCGGGAAUAUGUAUACUCAUCUUCUUUUUAUUUUGAAGAAGGAGAAACAACUAAAUACGUAUACAAAAAAAGAACAAACCGAAACAGUCCUGUCAUGUGCAACAAACACUAAACAAGGAACAACUACCUACAAAUCCCAUAGAAAAACACCCCUCUUAAAUAGGACCUUCAAGUAGAAGCAACGAGGAGCAGCUGCUUCCAAUUGAAGGUCCACCCAAUAAACAUCACAUAGAAAUAGACAUACUAGAACUAACAUAGAAAUAGACUAACAAAGAACAUAGCCCAACAAACCCCGAAACACUCUAAACAAACACCCCUCUUAAAUAUGAACAUAGGCCAACAAACCCCGAAACACUCUAAACAAACACCCCCUGCCACGUCCUGACCAAACUACAGUAACAAAUAACCCCUUAUACUGGUCAGGAAGUGACCGUAAAAUCAGUCACAACAACCUAUUUUCAAGUUGGCCGCCAUUCAUUUGAAUGUGGAGGAACUGAAUAGAUUUUUCGGGGCAUAAAUUAAUAACCUCUUAAGGAUUGGACCCUUUUUUUCAAAUUUUUGUCUAAAAUGACAUACCCAAAUCUAACUGCCUGUAGCUCAGGACCUGAAGCAAGGAUAUGCAUAUUCUUGAUAUCAUUUGAAAGGAAACACUUUGAAGGUUGUGGAAAUGUGAAAUUAAUGUAGGAGAAUAUAACACAUUAGAUCUGGAAAAGAUAAUACAAAGAAAAAACAUUCAUUUUUUAAAUUGUUGUUCCAUCUUUGAAAUGCAAGAGAAAGGCCAUUAUAUCACUUAGGAGUCAAGGCACAAUAUAGAUUUUGGCCACUAGAUUGCAGCAGUGUAUGUGCAAAGUUUUAGAUUGAUUCAAUGAGCCAUUGCAUUUCUGUUCAAAAUGUUGUGUCAAGACUGCCCAAAUGUGCCUAAUUGGUUUAUUAACACAUUGGUAGAAAUAUGACAAAACGCUGAAAAUGAGGUCAGGUUAAAGAUGGGCUCAGGAGAUCUUAUUCGUUUCCUUCUAUGAGAUAAUAUCAGUCAUUUAACAUGACCUUUAUCAAUUAUGAAGCCUUUAUGUGCUUUAUGUGCAUAAAUGCUUAAAAAAAAAUCACAAAAUGUAACGUUAGCUGAUGAAGAUUAUCUCAUAGAACAAAACGUAUAACCUUUUCUAAGCCUGUAUUUACCAAAUAACACAUUUUCGGCAAUAAUUUUAAAAAAGAAUACAAAAACGCCAUUUAUUACCCUAUAGGCUGUCGAACGAACCAUGGCGGAGUUAGUGCCUACUGCCCUGGGAUUGGCUCCGGCAUCCUGGGUCAGCCCCAGCUCUCUCUGGGUGAAUUUAGUAGCACCCCCUGGUGGCCACGGGCAGGGGAUGGGCCCUCUACCGGUGCAGGGAGCUGGCUGGAUGUAGUGGCACCCCCUUUUGGCCGUGGGUGGGUUUGGCACCCCUCUCCGGGAGUUGGCCCCCCUUUCCCUGGGUUGGCCCCAUCCCUCUCUGGUCCUCUGUAGGGAGCUAGGUGGAUGUAGUGGGUCCCCCUGGUGGCUUUGGGCGGGGGUCGCCCCCUCUCCCUGGGUCUGCCUCAGAUUUCUGGCCCUCUCCCCCCAUAUCCCUGGUGCAGGGAGCUGGCUGGAUGUACUGGUGCCCCCUGGUGGCCGUGGGUGGAGGUAUGCACCCCUCUCUGUGGGUCGGGCCCCCCUCCCUGGAUCAGCCUCAGCCCUCUCCGGCCCUUCCCCCCAUAUCUCUGGGGAAGGGAGCUGGCUGCAUUGGCCCCCGUGCCUGGGGGUCGGUCCACCCAGUCUCUGGAGUGAGACUCUAGACAGAGUCUCUGAGUUAGAGCAUCAACAUCACCUGUAAAUGUACACUGAACAGGUGUAAUGAUCACGUGUAAUGCAUACAGAACAGGUGUAAUGAACGCGUGUAAUGCACACAGAACAGGUGUAAUGAACGUGUGUAAUGUACACAGAACAGGUGUAAUGAACGUGUGUUAUGCACACUGAACAGGUGUAAUGAACGUGUGUAAUGCACACUGAACAGGUGUAAUGCACACAGAACAGGUGUAAUGAACGUGUGUAAUGCACACAGAAAAGGUGUAAUGAAUGCGUGUAAUGCACACUGAACGGGUGUAAUGAACGUGUGUAAUGCACACUGAACAGGUGUAAUGAACAUGUGUAAUGCACACAGAACAGGUGUAAUGAACGUGUGUUAUGCACACAGAACAGGUGUAAUGAACGUGUGUAAUGCACACUGAACAGGUGUAAUGAACGUGUGUAAUGCACACUGAACGGGUGUAAUGAACGUGUGUAAUGCACACAGAACAGGUGUAAUGAACGUGUGUAAUGCACACUGAACAGGUGUAAUGAACGUGUGUAAUGCACACUGAACGGGUGUAAUGAACGUGUGUAAUGCACACAGAACAGGUGUAAUGAACGUGUGUAAUGCACACAGAAAAGGUGUAAUGAACGCGUGUAAUGCACACUGAACGGGUGUAAUGAACGUGUGUUAUGCACACAGAACAGGUGUAAUGAUCACAUGUAAAAAUGACCAUAACAAACGUUCUAAUCACCUGUAAACACACUGGACAGGUGAAAAAAUCACGUGUACAAAAAAUAACAUUUGACACUUGAAAAAAGCAAGUGAAAAAUGAUCAUAACAAGUGUUCAAAUCACCUGUAAACACACACUAGACAGGCGAAACAAUCACAUGUACAAAAAAAUGACAUUUGACACUUGAAAAAAGCAAGUGAGCUGCCACGCCCUAGCUGGCUCGAGAGGUUUCUUGCCCGGUUGGCUCGGAAGGCGACCAUCCCACGUCAAGCCUUAGCCGGAUCGUCAGGUUUUUACGCCCAGACGGCUUGUCAGGCUGCUACGCCUCAGCCGGAUCUUCAGGCUCCCAUGGUCCAGCGGGAUCCUCAGGUUGUCACGCCUCAGCCGGUUCGCCAGGCUCCCAUGCCCCUGCCAGUUUGUCAGGAUUUUACGCCCUGCCGUUUUGUCCAGCGUCCGUGCCUCGGCCGGCCUGUCAGGCUUGCCCAGGUGGGACGUCGGGUGGCGCCCCUAGAGUAGGGUGUACUGUCACGCCUGCUCCUGCUCCCUUUCCCUGGCAUUCGAAGGCGCCAGGCUCCCCAGCAUUACGCACUCCUGCCACCAUCAGUACGCACACUUUCCUUUCCCCGUCACGCGCAUCAGCAUAUUAUUGGACUCAAUCACCUGUUUAUUACCUCCCCUAUAUUUGUCAGUUCCCUAUCUCUGUUCCCCGCUGCUGCAUUGAUUGUUGUUUGUCGUUGUGUAUCCGUGUGCUGACGCUGUUUUUGGUCUUUGUCUGUUUUUGCUCUUUGUCUGUUCCUAAUUCAAUGUCAACUCCCCAUACCUGCUUCUCGACUCCAGCAUCGCUCUUGCGAGUAUACCAUAGAGAGGUGCAUGCAGCGUGCAUUCGGAGAGGGAACAAAAAUCUAAACUUCGGACCCACUUGUGUUGGAGCACACCAAAGGUCCUUUCUACAUCCACACAGUCUACGGAAGAGAAGAGUAGCUGGUCACGGGUCAGCAGAUCGUUAAACUGAUACAUCAGUCAUUCAGCCUAUUCAUUUUCAUCAGGAAACAACUCGAAGUGUAGCUACGUGUUAAAUCAAUCUGUGCAUUUUAACGAGAUUGUCACGACUUCCACCAAAGUCGGCUCCCCUCCUUGUUCGGGCGGCGUUCGGCGGUCGACGUCACCGACCUUCUAGCCAUCGCUGCUCCAUUUUUCAUUGUUCCAUUUGUUUUGUCUUGUUCCCCGCACACCUGGUUUACAUUCCCUAAUCACACUGCAUAUAUAUAUUCCUCUGGUCACCCCAUGUCUUUGUGUAGAAUUGUUUUGUUAUGUGUUUAGUGUUACGCGCCAGACUGGUUUCCCCGGGUAUCGUGUUUUGACCCGUAGUAUGUUUAUUGUCAUACAUUUGCAUUAUUGUGAGUGUUUUCGCGCUUAUUCACUUUUGCCAUUGGCUGGAGGUUUUUUAACGCAGUUGCGUCUGUCUUUUGUGCUUCUUCCAAAUAAAUUGCGCCUGAUCACAACUCUCUGCUCUCCUGCACCUGACUUCUUACCAGUAGCGUACAACCUUGACAGAGAUAAUGAAUAUACAGAUAUAUAUUGAGGUUACUAAGGAAACACAUCCAGAGCUCUCUUCAGCUCUUGCGAAGGCUAGGUUGAGUAUGAUGCAAAGUAUUAUAGGCUACCUGUGUCUGUCAUCCACAUCAGAACACUACGAGACAAACAGGUAUUUGCAGAAAUGAAAAUGCAUUGUUCCCAUGGCCACCCAAGGUCUUGGAUUGAUUGGCACUGGCUUAGGACAGGCGAUCAUGACUGAGGCCAUGACAUUGGUGCCACAUAGCCUUAAUGCUUCCUACCCUGCAUACAUGAUGUGUCACUACCCUCAGGCCUUUACCCCGCCCCCAUGAGCCCCGGAGUCCCACUACCCUCAGGCCUCUACCCUGCCCCCAUGAUUCCCGGAGUCCCACUACCCCCAGGCUUUGUGCCCCC